Molecule: non-coding RNA, 29 nt
Filed under: Rattus norvegicus (Norway rat)
Lineage: Eukaryota; Metazoa; Chordata; Mammalia; Rodentia; Muridae
Source: RNAcentral
UUGAUAUUAAGUGUGUCCCCAUUAUUUCC